This 355-nucleotide unclassified non-coding RNA is filed under the name soil metagenome. RNAcentral describes it as "partial contains 5.8S ribosomal RNA, internal transcribed spacer 2, and large subunit ribosomal RNA". The stretch from base 1 to 120 matches the Rfam family "5.8S ribosomal RNA", at positions 35 to 154 of the family's 154-position model. The record is from RNAcentral.
GAUGAAGAACGUAGCGAAAUGCGAUAAGUAAUGUGAAUUGCAGAAUUCAGUGAAUCAUCGAAUCUUUGAACGCACAUUGCGCCCGCCGGUAUUCCGGCGGGCAUGCCUGUCCGAGCGUCAUUUCACCACUCAAGCCCGGCUUGGUGUUGGGGCGCCCGGCCGCCUGGCGGUCGGGGCCCCCAAGUACAUCGGUGGUCCUGCUGGGGCUCCGAGCGCAGUAACUCGCGGUAAAACGCGCCCUCGCUCGGCGGCCUCUUCGGGCUUCCAGCCGCUAAACCCCCAGUGACGUUUUUCGAGUUGACCUCGGAUCAGGUAGGAAUACCCGCUGAACUUAAGCAUAUCAAUAAGCGGAGGA